GGGGUAUGAAAGUGAAAUGUUUUAAAGAUGUUGUAUGGGGUUGUAAUAGACCUCAAAUCUGAGGGGGUAUUAUGUAAUUUACCAUAUAUAUAUAUAUAUGUGUGUGGGGUAUAGAAUCAAUACAGAAAAACACAUGGGGUUUCUCUCCAAUUUAUGCCUUCUACUUUUCUGAACCCUAGCUAAAAUCCAAUUCAUGUAAUAACCAACCUAUAAUUAAUCAUCAGAAGAAUAAAGAAAUUUCGAAUAAUUACCCCUAGCUGCAGGUUGAACAAAUUCCUUAAUCAUUUCCUUCCCCGCUGUCGUGAAGUGUAUAACUUCAAGGCUAGUUUGGAGUUAAUGUGUUCUUUUUUUAACUGUUUUUGCUUUGCUAUGAGAAUAAACAGUUGUGAAAAAAAAAAGCAAGCAAGUGUUU
This 412-nucleotide long non-coding RNA is filed under the name Malus domestica (apple). RNAcentral's name for it is "long non-coding RNA (MDOM_LNC020670)". Lineage: Eukaryota; Viridiplantae; Streptophyta; Magnoliopsida; Rosales; Rosaceae. The record is from RNAcentral.